Molecule: long non-coding RNA, 826 nt
Filed under: Homo sapiens (human)
Lineage: Eukaryota; Metazoa; Chordata; Mammalia; Primates; Hominidae
Description: miR-17-92a-1 cluster host gene
Source: RNAcentral
CCUUUUACUGGAGCUGUACAGUGGAGUCGUCAUACACGUGGACCUAACUGCACCAGUAGCUUUUCUGAGAAUACUUGCUGAAAAGGAAGUUUUCUGGAAUGGUAUUUGCUAAGUGGAAGCCAGAAGAGGAGGAAAAUGUUUUGCCACGUGGAUGUGAAGAUUUCCUCUAAAAGGCAGACCUGUCUAACUACAAGCCAGACUUGGGUUUUCUCCUGUAGUUUGAAGACACACUGACUCCUGACAAAAUGCAGCCUGCAACUUCCUGGAGAACAACUCAGUGUCACAUUAAAGUUUAUUAUGUAUUUAAUGAUACACUGUUUAAUUGACAGUUUUGCAUAGUUUGUCUAACUUUAGAGAAUUAAGAGCCUCUCAACUGAGCAGUAAAGGUAAGGAGAGCUCAAUCUGCACAGAGCCAGUUUUUAGUGUUUGAUGGAAAUAAGAUCAUCAUGCCCACUUGAGACUUCAGAUUAUUCUUUAGCUUAGUGGUUGUAUGAGUUACAUCUUAUUAAAGUCGAAAUUAAUGUAGUUUUCUGCCUUGAUAACAUUUCAUAUGUGGUAUUAGUUUUAAAGGGUCAUUAGGAAAAUGCACAUAUUCCAUGAAUUUUAAGACCCAUAGAAAAGUUGAAGAAUGCUUAAUUUUCUUAUCCAGUAAUGUAAACACAGAGACAGAACAUUGAGAUGUGCCUAGUUCUGUAUUUACAGUUUGGUCUGGCUGUUUGAGUUCUAGCGCAUUUAAUGUUAAUAAAUAAAAUACUGCAUUUUAAAGCUGUUAAGAAAUUGUCCAGAACGAGAAUAUUGAAAUAAAAACUUCAAGGUUAUUAUCGCA